CUUACACAUGCAAGUCGAGGGGUAACAGGGAUUGCUUGCAAUCCGCUGACGACCGGCGCACGGGUGCGUAACGCGUAUGCAACCUACCUUCUACAGGGGGAUAGUCAAUAGAAAUGUUGAAUAAUACCCCAUAUGAUCAUUAAUCUGCAUGGAUUGAUGAAGAAAGUUCCGGCGGUAGAAGAUGGGCAUGCGUCCUAUUAGUUAGUUGGUAAGGUAACGGCUUACCAAGACUUCGAUAGGUAGGGGUCCUGAGAGGGAGAUCCCCCACACUGGUACUGAGACACGGACCAGACUCCUACGGGAGGCAGCAGUGAGGAAUAUUGGACAAUGGAGGCAACUCUGAUCCAGCCAUGCCGCGUGCAGGAAGACGGCCCUAUGGGUUGUAAACUGCUUUUAUACAGGAAGAAUUGUACCUACGUGUAGGUAUUUGACGGUACUGUACGAAUAAGGAUCGGCUAACUCCGUGCCAGCAGCCGCGGUAAUACGGAGGAUCCAAGCGUUAUCCGGAAUCAUUGGGUUUAAAGGGUCCGUAGGCGGUCUGAUAAGUCAGAGGUGAAAUCCUGCAGCUCAACUGUAGCAUUGCCUUUGAUACUGUUAGACUUGAGUUAUUGUGAAGUAGUUAGAAUGUGUAGUGUAGCGGUGAAAUGCAUAGAUAUUACACAGAAUACCGAUUGCGAAGGCAGAUUACUAACAAUAUACUGACGCUGAGGGACGAAAGCGUGGGUAGCGAACAGGAUUAGAUACCCUGGUAGUCCACGCCGUAAACGAUGGAUACUAGCUGUU
RNAcentral lists this ribosomal RNA (783 nucleotides) under uncultured bacterium. RNAcentral's name for it is "bacterial SSU rRNA". It matches the Rfam family "Bacterial small subunit ribosomal RNA", at positions 48 to 824 of the family's 1533-position model. The record is from RNAcentral.